AACGAACGCUGGCGGCAGGCUUAACACAUGCAAGUCGAGCGCCCCGCAAGGGGAGCGGCAGACGGGUGAGUAACGCGUGGGAAUCUACCCAUCCCUACGGAAUAGCUCCGGGAAACUGGAAUUAAUACCGUAUACGCCCUACGGGGGAAAGAUUUAUCGGGGAUGGAUGAGCCCGCGUUGGAUUAGCUAGUUGGUGGGGUAAAGGCCUACCAAGGCGACGAUCCAUAGCUGGUCUGAGAGGAUGAUCAGCCACAUUGGGACUGAGACACGGCCCAAACUCCUACGGGAGGCAGCAGUGGGGAAUAUUGGACAAUGGGGGCAACCCUGAUCCAGCCAUGCCGCGUGAGUGAUGAAGGCCUUAGGGUUGUAAAGCUCUUUCACCGGGGAAGAUAAUGGCGGUACCCAGAGAAGAAGCCCCGGCUAACUUCGUGCCAGCAGCCGCAGUAA
This 447-nucleotide ribosomal RNA is filed under the name uncultured bacterium. RNAcentral describes it as "partial 16S ribosomal RNA". It matches the Rfam family "Bacterial small subunit ribosomal RNA", at positions 29 to 523 of the family's 1533-position model. The record is from RNAcentral.